This is a long non-coding RNA of Oncorhynchus tshawytscha (Chinook salmon), 1324 nucleotides long. The record is from Ensembl. NCBI's taxonomy places the organism in Eukaryota, Metazoa, Chordata, Actinopteri, Salmoniformes, Salmonidae.
GGGGGAAUGGCCUUAGCCCUCACCCUCCGAUUCAACAGGUCCCAGACGUGCUCAAUGGGAUUGAGAUCCGGGCUCUUGGCAGAACAUUGACAUUCCUGUUUUGCAGGAAAUCACACACAGAAAGAGCAGUAUGGCUGGUGGCAUUGUCAUGCUGGAGGGUCAUGUCAGGACGAGCCUGCAGGAAGGGUACCACAUGAGGGAGGAGGAUGUCUUCCCUGUAACGCACAGCGUUGAGAUUGCCUGCAAUGACAACAAGCUCAGUCCGACGAUGCUGUGACACAUCGCCCCAGACCAUGACGGACCCUCCACCUCCCUCCAAAUCGAUCCCGCUCCAGAGUACUGUCCUCGGUGUAACGCUCAUUCCUUCGACAAUAAACGCAAAUCCGACCAUCACCCCUGGUGAGACAAAACCGCAACACGUCAGUGAAGAGCACUUUUUGCCAGUCCUGUCUGGUCCUGAGACCGUGGGUUUGUGCCCAUAGGCAACGUUGUUGCUGGUGAUGUCUGGUGAGGACCUGCCUUACUACAGGCCUACAAGCCCUCAGUCCAGCCUCUCUCAGUUUAUUGAGGACAGGCUGAGCACUGAUGGAGGGAUUAUGCGUUCCUGGUGUGACUCGGGCAGUUGUUGUUGCCAUUCUGUACCUGUCCUGCAGGUGUGAUGUUCAGAUGUACCGAUCCUGUGCAGGUGUUGUUACACGUGGUCUGCCACUAAUGCGGACUAAUGAGGACGAUCAGCUGUCCAUCCUGUCUCCCUGUAACGCUGUCUUAGGCGUCUCACCGUGAGACAUGCCCCCCUGCAACCCCGGUUUCUGUAACAACAACACAGCUACCUGCUCUCCCUGCCCCCCUGGGACAUUCUCUGAUGGGGUCAAAGCUAACAAAAUAGCCCUUUCUGCUUUCCCAAUGGGCGUUGGUUUUUAUUUAGGUUUGAUUUCCAAAAUGUUGAUCUCUUUCUCUCCCUCUCCUCUCCCCAUUCUCUCUCUCUCCCAGUGUGUGAGUCAUGUCUGGCAGGUACUGAGCCUGCUGUAGGUUAUCAGUUUAAGUGGUGGUAUGUUGUACCAGCCAACAUGAAGAUGUCCUGCAUCAACGUGAGAAGCUCCAAGUGUGACGGUAUUAACGGUUGGGAGGUAGUGGGGAAUCAUAUCUGCAGUGGCGCACGGGGCUCUGAUAAUGACUACCUCAUCCUCAACCUCCACGUACCUGGCUUCAAGUGAGUCUGUUAACCUCAAUCUGUCUGUCACUGUCUCUCGCUCUCUUCCCCUCUCCUUCUUGCUCUCUCUUAAUUUGUGUGUGUGUCGAUCCUCAGGCCUCAGUAACAAGUGGU